CCUACGGGAGGCAGCAGUGAGGAAUAUUGGUCAAUGGACGAGAGUCUGAACCAGCCAAGUAGCGUGAAGGAUGACUGCCCUAUGGGUUGUAAACUUCUUUUAUAUGGGAAUAAAAUGUUCCACGUGUGGGAUUUUGUAUGUACCAUAUGAAUAAGGAUCGGCUAACUCCGUGCCAGCAGCCGCGGUAAUACGGAGGAUCCGAGCGUUAUCCGGAUUUAUUGGGUUUAAAGGGAGCGUAGGUGGAUUGUUAAGUCAGUUGGGAAAGUUUGCGGCUCAACCGUAAAAUUGCAAUUGAUACUGGCAGCCUUGAGUACAGUUGAGGUAGGCGGAAUUCGUGGUGUAGCGGUGAAAUGCUUAGAUAUCACGAAGAACUCCGAUUGCGAAGGCAGCUUACUAAACUGCCACUGACAUUGAUGCUCGAAAGUGUGGGUAUCAAACAGGAUUAGAUACCCCUGUAGUC
RNAcentral lists this ribosomal RNA (460 nucleotides) under uncultured bacterium. RNAcentral's name for it is "partial 16S ribosomal RNA". It matches the Rfam family "Bacterial small subunit ribosomal RNA", at positions 338 to 795 of the family's 1533-position model. The record is from RNAcentral.